UAACAAUUUCCAAAUUGGGCUCGUGGAUUAUAUUAAUUAGCAGUUUGUAUUCGUUAAUUAGUUUGCCGGUUUCCUUUGCCUUUUGUUCUGGUCCUUUAUAAAAACAGGUUUCGUUAAACCGAACGUUGCGUAAAAUAAUAAUCUUGUCGAAAGACGGCACCCAUAUAUAAUAUAUUCUGGUAACUUUGUAGCCUACCAAAUACCCAACGUGGGAUCUUGGAUUCGUUUUAAACAUUACCCUGUUUUAAAUCUUUGCCCUGGCCGGAUUUAACACGUACGCCUUGCAGCCAUACGCAUAAGUCCCUGACCAAUCUGGGCGCAGGUCCUUCCCUAAUUCGAUAUGCAAAACCGGUGUAUAAUGCCUAAAAAAUCGCUGGAACUAUACCAGGAGGAUCUCAUUCGGACUAACCCCUUUUCUGCUUAUUGAAGGGUUUAUAUUAAUUAAAUAGGCUGCGGCUAUAACCACUUCUGGCCAAAAAGUGCUAGGUAGGUUGGCUGCUAAACGCAUUUUCAAUGCGCGCACGAUUACUUUUUGACCUGAACGCUUUAUCUGACCGUUAGGCUCGUGGGUAUCUGCUGGGGGAGUUUCUAUCUCGAUCCCCAAAUCUUUGCAGUGUUUUUAAUAAUACGUAUAUCCAACGUGUGCUACCAACGCGGGCUUAUUAUUAUGGAAAAAUUUGGCCAUUUGCAGGCCGUACUGCCUUAUUAACCACUGUUUAAACCCGAAAAUGGUAAUAACGAGUUCGCUACUGUUUUUCCCGGUGAGCGGAACAGCCGUUAGGCGACCCGUGUAUUUAUCUUUCAAUAGCAGUAAAUAUUUGUAUCCUGUCCCUAAUUUUUCAAAAUGAAAAAGGUUAAAAUAAAUUAUAUAAUACGGCCUGUAGGGCUCCUCCCGUAAACGCCUCGAAACUACCGUUUUCCCGUAUAUUUGCGCGCACGUAUCGCACUCCAAAAAUGCUGGUCUUUUAAUCUUUACACCCUUAGCCCGUUGGACCAGCGCGUUCAACGUUUCCGGGCCGAGGUGGCCGGCUCUUCUAUACCAAAUUAAUAAAUUAUCCUCUUUUUCGUCGUAUAUUCCCAUGGAACUUCCUUUUUGCAUGCGGGGGAUUUUUAUCCAACCGCUAAUCGCCUCGGAAGAAAUUAUACCUGCAAAACUCACAAAUAACGUAAAUGGGACGCGCAAAUAAUUGACAGGUGUCUUAUAUUGUAAAAAAAUUAUAUUAUUUCGUCGUUCCAAUCUGCAUAAUAAAAUAUUGUUUUCCCUGCUCCCCAUGCGGAUUAUGCAAUCCAACCCGUUAUACCACACGUUUUUAUCUUUUAAACGCGUUUCUGACACGAUAUUUACGUGGAAUCCCUUAACGUACGCCACAUUAUUUAAUUUUAACAUUCGUCCUUCGGUUAAAAUUCCCUUUAUUAUACGGGUACCGUAACUUAUAAUUCUAACGUUUUGGGUACCGUAUAACACCACGAACGCAUUAUUUGCUUUUGGCCUGCGCAAUAAUCCGGGAUCCAGCCGGUCGAUAUUAUUUACCAAAUAAAUGGAAUAACAAUUGUCGAACAAUAUACUGUCGUAAUAUUUGUGCUGGGACGUAUUUAUCGUAAAAACGCUUUCACUAUGGUUAUAAAAUGUUUGGAAGCCCGGAAGAUUUUCUCCAGGGUCGCGGUACAUUGCCAAAUAUGCGGCCGAAAUCGUUGCCGGUACGUCUUUAUUAUUGGAUGUGCUUUGCCUGCUUCCGUUCGUGGAACCCCAAAAUGCCGGGAUCGUUCCAAUUUAUAAAAACUUGGCCUUUAAAUCUUUCCAGCGCUCCUUCUUUAAUUUUUCUCUAAUUUGUUUACAUUCCGUUUGAAAAGGGGUUUUGCGAGGUCGUAUAACGGAACUAAUACCUUUUACGGCAAUUAGGAAUGCAUUACAUUUGUAAAUUUUCCAGGGAUGGUGAUUAGCGCCAUAAAGGCAUUCGUAAUUCGUCCGAUCCCUGUUCUGUUCCCCGUUAUGCGCACGGGUCGAACUCCGGUUGCGUUCCUGCGAAGGUCCGCCGAGCGUCGUAUAUAAUUUAGCGAAAUUGCUCCUCCCGCCGAUUAGGGGGUUAAUAAUUUAAUCGUUAAACGCACACCUAAACCACGUAAACGCGUAAUCCAGGGUAAUUUUGUAAUCCGGUUUGUUAAAUUCGUUCCGAACAUUUACGGCCCAGGAGGGUUGGAAACGCCCUCCCGCCUUUGCGAAGUCCCGGAUCGCUAAAUCUCUUUCGAAAUUAAUUAUCCGGUAUAUAAGGCCCUUUUCGUAUACCGCAUCGUAAAUUUUAAACCAAUUGGCCUUAUCGUUCGUGGUGCGCGUUAAUAUUAAUGCCGCACGGUAGUUCUUAAUGGCCUGCUUUUUGGCGUAUAAUUUUAAAAAUGCAAACUUUUUUUUAAACGUUUUAAUAAUUUCCUGGAACGUGUUCCAACCGUUGCGGUGUGCUGUAAAUAAAAUAAUGUUAAAAUAAAUGGGAUCGGUAUUUUUAAGGACCCCUUAAUGUAACAGGUUUACCUUUUUAAAUUCCUCGUUUAUAUAAUUAUCCAGCAUUUCUUAUUUUUUACGCGUUAUUUCCACGGCGUUUUUUAUUUCGGAGGGAAUAGGGUUUCCGGGUGCGACCGGUUCUUUAAUACCUUUAAAAACGGGGUGGUAAUUUUCCCGGAACUUUGCGGCGUAAUUUCGAAGGGUUUGUUUUUUUUAAAUGGUGUUACUGUCCCAAAUUUUGAGGUAAAUUUCGUAUAUUGCUCGUUUUAUAUGCUUAAGCGACUCGGUAACAAUUUCGGUAAGCUCUUUAAACGUUACGAGCUUUUCGGAGAUUUGUCGGUCGGGGUUUACCAAUUUCCAAAUGCGGAAAAUUUCGGCAUUUUGUCGGUAAAUUUUAAACCAUUUGGGCUAUCCAGUUUGUAAAUUUAGAACAUUCCCUGAUUUUUGGAACCUUUUAUUGUAAUUUAUAGUGAACGUUGGGGGUUUUGAGAGAAUAGGGGGUAUUUCUAAAAGUAGCCCAAUGGGUGUAGAGAGAGAGAAAGGAAUAGAAAAUUGUUAUAAACGCUAAUAGUGUGACUUCAUUUUCGCAAUUUGCGUAAAGUAGAGAUUGCAAUAGUCUACUGCUGUACCGGGCUCAUAACUAACGCACACUAACGUACACGUACAGCCAGAUUUAGUGGGUAGGAGAGCCAUAUAUUGGUGUAGGUAGUGCUAUUUGUGCUAGAACGCGUGUUGGGGCUUUUAUCGUGCUCCUAACGCUGACUCAGCGCUUGUUGUCAUGUGACGACAAAAUCUAUCUGAUUAUCUAAUGCAACAGGAUUUACGUCGAAAUAACGCUAAUAAUAACAACCAACGUAACGAUAACGACGUUAACCUUACCGGUAACCCCAACGACGAAUGUAACGACGUUAACCCUAUCGUUAACCCCAACGACGAACGUAACGACGACGUCACCCCUAUCCUUAACGGUCCUGCAGGUCCCGGAAACCUUACUACAACCCCUAUUCGCUCCGGUGCCCGCGGGGACCCUAACGGACUUAGGGCUGAUUUUGCCGUUAUUAACGGAACUUCUAAAUAUUAUUACGACGUACAAAUCGUUGCAAUUAGGAAAGAUUCCGCUAAUUCGGACCCGUUCGCUACGUUAACGGAA
This 3644-nucleotide small RNA is filed under the name Pyricularia oryzae. RNAcentral's name for it is "Magnaporthe oryzae sRNA M_BR32_EuGene_00074901". Lineage: Eukaryota; Fungi; Ascomycota; Sordariomycetes; Magnaporthales; Pyriculariaceae. The record is from RNAcentral.